RNAcentral lists this ribosomal RNA (460 nucleotides) under uncultured bacterium. RNAcentral's name for it is "partial 16S ribosomal RNA". It matches the Rfam family "Bacterial small subunit ribosomal RNA", at positions 338 to 795 of the family's 1533-position model. The record is from RNAcentral.
CCUACGGGCGGCAGCAGUGAGGAAUAUUGGUCAAUGGGCGCUAGCCUGAACCAGCCAAGUAGCGUGCAGGAUGACUGCCCUAUGGGUUGUAAACUUCUUUUAUAUGGGAAUAAAGUGCAGCAUGUGUACAGGUUUGCAUGUACCUUAUGAAUAAGGAUCGGCUAAUUCCGUGCCAGCAGCCGCGGUAAUACGGAGGGUCCGAGCGUUAUCCGGAUUUAUUGGGUUUAAAGGGAGCGUAGGCGGGGUGUUAAGUCAGCUGUGAAAUUUCGCGGCUCAACCGUAACAUUGCAGUUGAUACUGGAAGCCUUGAGUACAGUAGAGGUAGGCGGAAUUCGUGGUGUAGCGGUGAAAUGCAUAGAUAUCACGAGGAACUCCGAUUGCGAAGGCAGCCUGCUGGACUGUGACUGACGCUGAUGCUCGAAAGUGUGGGUAUCAAACAGGAUUAGAUACCCGGGUAGUC